CCUCUGGCACGGCAAGAGCCGGCCCCCGGCUCGGAGCGAGCACCGUGACCCCCCCUCCGCCGGCACCCGCAGCUCGCUCGGGACUCCGGCGUCUAAGUAGUGGCCCGGCAGGACGUGAAGGAUCAGGGACCCACUGGUGGCCUGGGACGGGACCAGACGGCAGCAGAGCUCAGGGAGCAGCUGAGCAGUUACGCUGGGAGCCUCCUGGCUGCUGGGAGCCCCAGGGUCACGUCCUGCAUCAGUCCUCACUGUCACCUCCGGCCAAGCACCCAGCAAGGAGCUGGUGGCACCACGAUGUCCCAGGCAGAAGCCCCUUUGCUUGAACCUUUAGCUGCCUCAACCUUUCCGAAAGGCAUUUCUCACCACAAACCGCUGAAAUGCUGUGGGUGCAGGGCUGCUCCGGGGGCACGCGCCGCAGGAGCACCCCAUCCUUCAGUCUCAUUGCUC
Molecule: long non-coding RNA, 447 nt
Filed under: Dromaius novaehollandiae (emu)
Lineage: Eukaryota; Metazoa; Chordata; Aves; Casuariiformes; Dromaiidae
Description: lncRNA (ENSDNVG00000004187.1)
Source: RNAcentral